RNAcentral lists this ribosomal RNA (497 nucleotides) under uncultured bacterium. Its description in RNAcentral is "partial 16S ribosomal RNA". It matches the Rfam family "Bacterial small subunit ribosomal RNA", at positions 28 to 507 of the family's 1533-position model. The record is from RNAcentral.
GAUGAACGCUGGCGGCGUGCCUAAUACAUGCAAGUCGAGCGAACGGACGAGAAGCUUGCUUCUCUGAUGUUAGCGGCGGACGGGUGAGUAACACGUGGAUAACCUACCUAUAAGACUGGGAUAACUUCGGGAAACCGGAGCUAAUACCGGAUAAUAUUUUGAACCGCAUGGUUCAAAAGUGAAAGACGGUCUUGCUGUCACUUAUAGAUGGAUCCGCGCUGCAUUAGCUAGUUGGUAAGGUAACGGCUUGCCAAGGCAACGAUGCAUAGCCGACCUGAGAGGGUGAUCGGCCACACUGGAACUGAGACACGGUCCAGACUCCUACGGGAGGCAGCAGUAGGGAAUCUUCCGCAAUGGGCGAGAGCCUGACGGAGCAACGCCGCGUGAGUGAUGAAGGUCUUCGGAUCGUAAAACUCUGUUAUUAGGGAAGAACAUAUGUGUAAGUAACUGUGCACAUCUUGACGGUACCUAAUCAGAAAGCCACGGCUAACUACGUG